This 1344-nucleotide long non-coding RNA is filed under the name Homo sapiens (human). RNAcentral's name for it is "HSALNT0168189". The record is from RNAcentral. Lineage: Eukaryota; Metazoa; Chordata; Mammalia; Primates; Hominidae.
CUUACAGCUCUGGAGACUGGAAGUUGAAUCAGGAUAGCAGCAUACUCAGGUCCUGGUGAGGGCCCUCUUCUGGGAUCCAAGAAUGAGGACUCCUUGGAUCCUCCCAUGGUGGAAAGCAGUUGAUCUUUGAGUUAGGGGACAUGGUAGCUGCUGAUUCAACUAUCAUUGAACCUCCUUAUUGAAGAAUGACAUUGCCAAGAUAGCACCAAGUCUCAGAAUCUGAAAACUUAAUACAGUGAUUUCUAAUUCAGCUAGUCAUCAAAAUCACCUGCAGAACUUUACAAAAAUUUAAAUCAUCCUGCCCAGAGAUUCUAUUCAACAAGUUUUGGAGCAAACCCGGAAACUGAAUUUUGAAAUGUUCCCAGAUAAUUCUGUCGAUCAGCCAAGUCUGGGAAUCUCCAGGUGAAAUGCCGAGGACUUGGUCCAUCUGCAGGCUCAUCUCAUGACUACAGCCUAGCCAAGAUGGGAAAACAGGCUUAAGGAAGGAUAAGUAACUUGUUCAAGUACUGGCUCCUGAGCUCAGAGAAGAUAAGGAGAGGAUCAUGCUGGCGUGAGCACUGACCACAGAGGGAACGAGAGACCCAAGAAAUACCCUUUCCCUGUGGUGACAGGAUGGAAACUGCCAAUCUCUCUGCAGGCGCCCCUCUGGCUGGUAGGAGGCACCAGAACACACUGCAUGCUCCAGUGUGUGAUAUGCUGCUGUUUCUUAAAAGCCUGUGUGAGAGGUCAGUGCCACCAAGUGGCUGAAAGAAACUGAUGUAUAAAGGCUUCCUGGGAGUGAAAUGGUUCUUUCAGAAUGGCUUUUGGAUGAUACAUAUAUCUCUGAUGACAUAGAGAAACAUGCACUGCCUCAGUUGGGAUUAGAGGAUCUGAGCAGUGGCUGGCCACUCCAAUCACCAUGCUGUGCUGCCUUCUUCCAAGCCCCAUCUCACCAGAUCAUAUGGUCACAGCAGAAGGCCAACCACAAUGUUGACCUACGAGUGCAAGGCAUGUGUAAUGGGAUCAAGCAAGGUUCUCUGAGAUGCUGAAAUGAGAUACAGAAUACAAUGAUUAUAUUCAGGUUUGGGCAAUUGUGAAUAUCACUGCUGUAAACAUUCAUGCACAGGUUUUUAUGUGAACAUAAGUUUUCAUUUCUCUGUGGAAGACAAAUAGGAACAGGAUUCCUAGUUCAUAUGAAAGGCAAACCACAAAAGACAAAAAGAGAAAGAAGGACCUCCAGAGUGGGAGAAUAACUCCUCGCCUGUCAGGUAGGUUACACUCACUGUGUGCAUCCCUGAUAUAAAAUGGUGAAACAUUUGCAUAACCCAUCCUCCCAUGUACUUUACAUCAUCUCUAGAUUUACUU